RNAcentral lists this ribosomal RNA (464 nucleotides) under uncultured bacterium. Its description in RNAcentral is "partial 16S ribosomal RNA". The stretch from base 20 to 317 matches the Rfam family "Bacterial small subunit ribosomal RNA", at positions 47 to 358 of the family's 1533-position model. The record is from RNAcentral.
GACGAACGCUGGCGGCGUGCUUAACACAUGCAAGUCGAACGGAAAGGCCCCUUUGGGGGUACUCGAGUGGCGAACGGGUGAGUAACACGUGAGUAACCUGCCCUUGACUUCGGGAUAACUUCAGGAAACUGGGGCUAAUACCGGAUAGGAAUCCUUGCUGCAUGGUGGGGGUUGGAAAGCUUCGGCGGUUUUGGAUGGACUCGCGGCCUAUCAGCUUGUUGGUGGGGUAGUGGCUUACCAAGGCUUUGACGGGUAGCCGGCCUGGGAGGGCGACCGGCCAAAGGGGGACGGGGUGAAGGACCGGACGGGGCCGUGAGGAGAAGGGGGGGGGGGUGGAAGGAGGGGAGGAGGGAUGAUGUAGCAAAGCGGAGUGGGGGAUGGUGGGAUGGGGGUAGGAAGAGGAGGAGGGCUGUGAAGGGGCGUGAGGGACGGUAAUGGGAAAAGAAGCGCGGGCUAACUACGUG